Molecule: long non-coding RNA, 429 nt
Filed under: Pan troglodytes (chimpanzee)
Lineage: Eukaryota; Metazoa; Chordata; Mammalia; Primates; Hominidae
Description: long non-coding RNA NONPTRT013264
Source: RNAcentral
UGCAACUGCUUGGCCAAUUCCAAUUUAGAAGAGAAUCAGUUCCAGGUCUCGCCUCUGAAAGGAGCCUUGAGCCUGCUGGAGCAAAAACAGAGAGGACCCUGAGACUACGUGGAGGGGGAGAUGGGCUCUGCUGAGCUCAGACAUCCAGCCGUCCCUGCCAAGGUGCCAGGCAUGUGAGUGUUGGACCUCUGACACAAGCUCAGAGUCAGCUGAAGUCCACCAACCCCAGGUGAAGUGACAAGGAGCAGAAGAAUUGCCCAAAUUCCUGACCUUCAACAUGGUGAGAUAUGAUAAAACGGUUGUUGUUCUGAAUUGCUAAGUUUUGAGGUAGUUAUCAAAGAGAAAUGGGGUAGCAAAAUUAACCAGUUGCCUGAUCUUGACAAUAGAAUAAGACAAAAGAACAAAUAACUCAGUACGAUAGUGAACAGA